This is a non-coding RNA of Neofelis nebulosa (Clouded leopard), 3601 nucleotides long. NCBI's taxonomy places the organism in Eukaryota, Metazoa, Chordata, Mammalia, Carnivora, Felidae. The record is from the annotation of a RefSeq genome assembly.
AGAAUUAUACUUGAAGAUCUCCUUCCCUCCCAACCAUCCUUCCUUUAGCUCCUCCUUCACAGAGCUGAGUGAAGAGUCCAGAUGGAGCUCUUCACAGAUGGUGGCAUAUGAGGAAUUUAGAAGUCAGGAAACACCCAGAUUUUCAAGGAAAAGACUCUUCCAGACGUCUCUGGAACACAAUUACACAAGAUUCUAGGGCACCCACCAUACACAUUCUUCCUUGUUCCAAGGGUACUGUUUCCUCAACCAUACUCCUUCUUGCUCAGGAAAGAUCUUCAAAAAGGAGACUACAGUUUCUUCAGUCCUCAGCCAUGAGCUUGGCUCCUGUCCCCAUGCUUGUGUUUAUGAUACUUUUUGCCCCGAGAGGAACCGGAGCCCAGUCAGUGACCCAGCCUGAUGUCCACAUCACUGUCUCUGAAGGAGCCCCUCUGGAGCUGAGGUGCAACUACUUGUCUUCUGUUCAGGUGUAUCUCUUCUGGUACGUGCAGCACCCCAACCAAGGACUCCGGCUUCUCUUGAAGUACAUAUCAGGGGACAUCCUGGUGAAAGGCACCAAAGGUUUUGAGGCUGAAUUUAGGAAGAGUGAAAAGGCCUUCCACCUGAGGAAACCCGCGGUCCAGUGGAGCGAUGCGACCAAGUACUUCUGUGCUGUACUUCUGUACUGUGACACAGUGCCUGGGACUGCAGGGGGAGCUGAACACCAACUUCUGCUGAAUGUGAGGCUUCCAGUGACUCAAGGGAUCAACCUGGGGCACUUUCAGUGAGACCUUAUGUUCUAUGGUGACAAGAUGGACAGAGGGGACUAAACUGCUUAGUUCUUGUGCAGACAUGGUUCUAAUCUUCCAAGAGUCAGGAUUCAUGAGGAAAGGACAACUUAUGAAAAAACAAACAAACAAACACAAUGUCACCAACAGACUGGAGACUGGAACUUGCUCAGAGAAUCACUUUGGAUGGGACAGUGGCAGGGAUGGGUUUUGUGCUGCGAUUGCCAUUUGACUUGUGACCAGAGAGGAGAGUACUAUGACAGUCUACGCCGAUGGUUGUAAUCCACUAGGGACACUCUAAGCUUCCCCCUAACUGAGGAACUUUCCUUAAGAUCCUAGAUAAUUCCAUCUGUGUGUGUGCCUAUUUGAAAAACUGAAUGGAAAGAGGAAGGUUAAUAUUAGAGGAAGCGACUGAGGAAAAUGUGAUAAAAUAAAAUCACCAAGCACAGGGAGAAUUUUUAGUGAAUGCUUCUGUCAUUUACUCAGCUCUUUCAUGUUAACAUCAUCUCAAAAAGAUGGAGUUAAGAUUUCCAUCAAUCCAUCACUGGAUGAGGUUGAGGAAGGUCGGGGCUAUGCUAAUAUGACAGAGAUGAUUACUAGAGUGGAGUGAGAGUAGGAAUCUGUUAGGGUCAAGUCAGCUGGAGGCUCUAGUAGUGAAUAUUUAUAUUUUCCUUUACCUAACUUUUGUAACUAAGAAUUCCCACUCUUCUUCUUCUCCUCCUCCUCCUUCUUCUUCUUCUUUUUCUGGAGAGAUAGAGACAGAGAGCAGGGGAGUGGCAGAGAGAGAGGCAGAGAGAGAAUUCCAUGAAGGCUACAUGUUGUCAGUGCAGAUUCUGGUGCAGGGCUUGAUCUGAAGGCCAUGAGAUUAUGAUUUGAGCUGAAAUAGAGAGUCAGACACUUGAACCACCUGAGCCACCUGGAGUUCCCAAAUUUCCCUUUUUUAAAAGAUACUAAUCAUGUUGGAUUAAAUUCCAUUCAAAUAACCUCAUAUAACUUCAUUAUUUCUGUAAAGACAAUUUGUCUAGGUAAGGUCAUAUUCUAAUUUGCUAGAGAUUAAGACUCCAAGUCCCCCCCCCCCCCCCGUUGGUGCGUGUUGGGGGGGGGCACAGUUCAACCCAUAACACCACAGCCAUUAACAAUUACUUUCAUUCUAAAGACUGAUACAUGGGAAAACUACUGUUUCUUUCUCUACUUGCUUGAUAUCCAGUAACGUUCUCCCUGGGCAAGAUAAUAGAUAGCAACACAGAGAUAUCAAGUUACAUUUGUUGACCUGAACAGUAAGAUCAUUUUUCUUGUGAUUUCCUAUGUUAAACAUAGUUUGCAUUUGUAUAGAACAUUAAGGCUUAGAGAGAAUUUUCUUAUGCAUACUUAAUUGAUCUUUUAAUCUCUCUCAUAGAGAUGAAGAGAACAAAUGCUUUGCACUAAAUACACAACUAGCAAGUCCUGAGAAUCACUUACAAUUCUCUUUGUCGAAAUCCUCAUUCAGGGUCUUUUUUUCCUUUGCAAAAAAUAUACUCCAUAGUCCAUGUGACCAAGCCCAACCACUUGCUACUCUGUUUAACAAAGAUUAUAAUUUCCAUAAAUUGCUGGGUCUGAGACAUACUGACUUUUGAGAAACAUUUCUUCUGUCCAGGUAUAGUGACCACUUGGGGUCGCUGUUGUAAUUAGUUGACUCUAUUUUGCUUUAUUUAUGUACAAGGUGUUCUAGAGUCUUUAGCUUCCCCUGAAAUACUUCUUUUCUCCUCCAUUUGCUACUGCGGGCAAGUUGGUUAUUUAUUCAUGACCUGUGAUAUCUAAAAUGUUACUAGAAGUCAUCCGCAUUCACUAAUGUUUACUUGAGGAAAUGGAAAAAUUGUUCACUUAGAAUAAAUUGGGCAAUUCUAGACCUAAAAGUCACCUCCUAAAUAUUUUCUAGUGAUUUUCCAUUCGCAUAUUAUAUGAGCCAAGGAAUCACACCACAUCAAUGCGAGUAUCUAGUAUGUUUUGAUUAUUGUAGUUGGCAGAUUCCAUUAACAUUAGGUGUUUUGGGGAUUUGUCUCUUUUCCUAAAUGGUGUUUGUUGUUGUUGUGUUGUAUGUGCAUGAGUUAUUACUAUUAUUGAAUUUAUAUUGGAUAUGUCUUGAUGGAAGAGUGAAUGGCAUUAUUUUAAAAAAUCAUGUGUAAUAAAAGCAAAAAUGAAGUCUUGGGACCUCAUGAAGAUAAAAAGCUUGUGCACAGCAGAGGAAAUAAUCAACAAACUAAAAGGCAAGCGAUGGAAUGGGAGAGGAUAUUUGCACUGACAUAGCAGAUAAAGGUUAGUAUCCAAAAUCUAUAAAGAACUUAUCAAACUCAACGCCCCCCCUCCAAAUAAUCCAGUGUAGAAAUGGGGGAAACACAUGGACAGACACUUCUCCAAAGAGGACAUGCGGAUGGCUAACAGACACAUAAAAAGAUGCUCGACAUCACUCAUCAUCAGCUAAAUACAAAUCACAACCACAAUGAGCUCUCACCUCACAUCUAUCAGAAUGGCUAAAAUUAACAACGCAGGAAACAACAGAUGUUGGCAAGGAUGUGGAGAAAGGGGAGCACUUGGGCACUAUUGGCGGGGAUGCAAACUGGCGCAGCCACUCUGAACAAAAUUUUUUUGAGAUUCCUCAAAAAAUUAAAAAUGAAGCUGCCGGGGCGCCUGGGUGGCUCAGUCGGUUAAGCGUCCGACUUCGGCUUAGGUCACGAUCUCGUGGUCCGUGAGUUCGAGCCCCGCGUCGGGCUCUGGGCUGAUGGCUCUGAGCCUGGAGGCUGCUUCCGAUUCUGUGUCUCCCUCUCUCUCUGCCCCUCCCCCGUUCAUGCUCUGUCUCUCUC